RNAcentral lists this ribosomal RNA (856 nucleotides) under uncultured bacterium. RNAcentral describes it as "bacterial SSU rRNA". It matches the Rfam family "Bacterial small subunit ribosomal RNA", at positions 11 to 882 of the family's 1533-position model. The record is from RNAcentral.
GUUUGAUCCUGGCUCAGGAUGAACGCUGGCGGCGUGCCUAACACAUGCAAGUCGAACGGUGGCUGAUUUCGGUUGGUCACAGUGGCGCACGGGUGAGUAACACGUAGCUAACCUGCCCUGGAGAGCGGGAUAACUUUGGGAAACCAGAGCUAAUACCGCAUAAGCUCACGGCGAAUAGAGAGGCGUGAGAAAAGGGGAAACCCGCUCUGGGAUGGGGCUGCGGCCCAUCAGCUGGUUGGUGGGGUAACGGCCUACCAAGGCGACGACGGGUAGGGGGCCUGAGAGGGUGGUCCCCCACACUGGGACUGAGACACGGCCCAGACUCCUACGGGAGGCAGCAGUGAGGAAUAUUGGUCAAUGGGCGCAAGCCUGAACCAGCGACGCCGCGUGGGCGAAGAAGGCCUUCGGGUCGUAAAGCCCUUUUCUGUGUGAAGAGAGCGGACGGUAGCACAGGAAUAAGCGUCGGCUAACUACGUGCCAGCAGCCGCGGUAAAACGUAGGACGCAAGCGUUAUCCGGAAUUACUGGGCGUAAAGGGCGUGCAGGCGGUCUCUUAAGUUAGGCGUGAAAGCUCCGGGCUAAACCUGGAGAGGUCGUCUGAUACUGGGGGACUAGAGUGUGGUAGAGGGGUGUGGAAUUCCGGGUGUAGUGGUGAAAUGCGUAGAUAUCCGGAGGAACACCAGUGGCGAANGCGGCACCCUGGGCCACAACUGACGCUAAGACGCGAAAGCAUGGGUAGCGAACGGGAUUAGAAACCCCGGUAGUCCAUGCCGUAAACGAUGUGCACUCGGUGUUCUGGCAGGAAAGCCUGCUGGAGUGCCUCAGCCAACGCGGUAAGUGCACCGCCUGGGGGAGUA